This is a long non-coding RNA of Solanum dulcamara, 596 nucleotides long. RefSeq lists it as uncharacterized. Lineage: Eukaryota; Viridiplantae; Streptophyta; Magnoliopsida; Solanales; Solanaceae. The transcript is spliced from 2 exons. The record is from RefSeq and is a predicted model, not a curated record.
GCCUAUAACAAAUAAGAUAAACAGGUGGUGUUCAAAGAAAGGGACAAAGCGCGGGUAUAAAGAAGAAGAAGAAGAAACUCCCCGAGAGAAGUGGAGAAGUAGAUCUAUUCUUUGAUCUGCGAUCUUGAUUGGGAAUAGUAAUGGCGAAGGUGGAGUUAAACGGAGACGUCACAAAGAAGACGGUGAAUAGAAAUCAUGGAUCCACCAAAUUCUUUGUUUUUAUAGAUUAUCUUUUCCUCUUCGUAUUCUUCUGUUUCCUCUGCUACAUUCUCUUCAAAAUCGUCGGAAUUUGAUCCAUACAGGUUAAUUAUAAGCUAUAUCCAGAUCAAGAGAGUCCAAGCUCUUAUGACACAACUGCUGGUUUAUUCCAGUUUAGAGAUUGUUUUCUUCUUGGACUGAGAUAUCUUUAGGGAAUGAAGUCUUCGCAAUACUGACGAUAUAUGUUAAAAUUCUUCUGUGCCACAUUACUUACCUAUUUAAUGUACUUAAUAUAUAUAUAUAUAACAUUUAGUUCAUUUGGUGUGACUGAUCACACAAUUUACACGUGGAUACAACACUGAAUUUCUUAUGCUCAAUUGACAAUUACUAGCAUCUCA